Nematostella vectensis (starlet sea anemone) is the source of this 881-nucleotide long non-coding RNA. RefSeq lists it as uncharacterized. The transcript has 2 exons. NCBI's taxonomy places the organism in Eukaryota, Metazoa, Cnidaria, Anthozoa, Actiniaria, Edwardsiidae. The record is from RefSeq and is a predicted model, not a curated record.
ACGAACCAGACCCUCCGGAUUUUUCGCUCCGGACGAUUACCUCCCCCCACCCCCUGGAAAUUCCUGGGCGUUUGACUCCCCCGGAUGACACCAUACUCUCUUGUUCUAAAAUAAUAGCAGCUACUUCCCGAGGUAGCUGACACUAUCGAAAAUUGUCAACAAGAGUCUUCUCCUGAAACGCACGGUGUUGCAUCCAAGCAUAAUGUGUCAGGCCGUUCGAUGAGCUAUUUCGAUCGAGAAGCCUGUCUCCAAAGCGUCGCCAAAAGCCCAUUUCUUAUCCUUUAUGCUUGCGUCUAUACUUCCCCAAUAAUUCUGGAUAUGAGAGCUCAUUAACGUGAUGAUAAUAAACGUCGCGACUUCAUCAUCAGGAAACGACCAGAACCACAAAACACCAUCUCGCGUCCUUGGUAUAUUAAGGGCAGUGUUUUACUUCAAUCUAAGUGACGACCGUUUAUAUCAAAAAGACAAAAGGCUGAAAGAUAGACCCAUUAGCAUCGCAGGAUAUAAGCGGAUCACAUUGUGCAUAGACAUUCAAAGUCAGGAUGAGGUUUCAAGUGACCAUCGCUCUGUUGAUUCUCGCCAUGGUAGCGCGCGCUCAAGGUGUAAGCGAAGGUGACAGCAGGCUGGGUGACAUGUUGCACAAUAGGUUUAUGGCUACUUCAGGUUGUGUCAGGUGGAGCAGAAGAAAAGGCUGUGUGGUGCAAUUUGCCGAGAAACGAGCCAAGACGAUACAAAACCGUCAUCUUGCAAUCAAGGAGGCCUUGAAAUAUCUUCUAUCACAUGACGGAGAUGAUCAAGUUCGCGUUUAAUAAUAUGUAACAAUAGGCUUAGAAAAUAUGUAGUAUAUAAGAUAUUUUGCUAAUAAACAAAUUGAACGAAAU